This 249-nucleotide long non-coding RNA is filed under the name Nicotiana benthamiana. Its description in RNAcentral is "long non-coding RNA (NBEN_LNC018773)". Lineage: Eukaryota; Viridiplantae; Streptophyta; Magnoliopsida; Solanales; Solanaceae. The record is from RNAcentral.
AUCCUACAACCCUGAUACUAGACCUCCGGACUUUCCUAUCAUGGGUCAUGUCCUUGGAAACCCGCAUUCUAGCUAUGUCAUGCCUAAUCACCUCUCCCGAAUACCUCUUAGGCCUUCCGAACGCCGACAAUUGCCAGCCGCUCACAACUCUUCACCGGGGCAUCAAGACUUCUCCUCCGCACAUGCCCGAACCACCUCAGCCUCGCUUCUCGCAUCUUCUCAUCCACCGGGGCCACCCCCACCUUCUCU